GUUAACGUAGCUUAAACCUAAAGCAAAGCACUGAAAAUGCUUAGACGGGUCCUCACACCCCGUAAACA
Erinaceus europaeus (western European hedgehog) is the source of this 68-nucleotide non-coding RNA. NCBI's taxonomy places the organism in Eukaryota, Metazoa, Chordata, Mammalia, Eulipotyphla, Erinaceidae. The record is from Rfam.